AAGAAAUGAUGGUAUAAGAGGGAUUUGAACCUGUAAAAAUUCUGAUAGAAAUCCUUUAGAACCUUCUAGAAAGGACUAAAGCACACUUCCUGCCUCAAACUUGAGGCACAAGUCAAAAAUUGAAGGAUCAUUUGGACAAAAUGCAAUUUGAGUUAAGGACUGAGAAGAAAACAAGGAAAAAUCCGAUACCCUAAAAGCUUUACUAUAAAAUGAACCAUCUAGGCAUUGUAAAAGGGAUCUGGAACUUUCCUUUAGAAUCCUAGAGAGAAAAAAUACAUAUUAGCAUCUUGUUAUGUCUGUGAGAAGCUAUCAGUGCUGAAUUUGGUCAUUUUGAGUUUAGUUCUCUCACAAUUCAGUUGAAACUCUGGGCAUACUGUGCGAUUGGUUAGCUGAUUGCUUGAGUGACUCAUUACAUUUUACUCAUAGGCUCCUAUUUUGCUGAAUUACAGGUAUAUUUCCUUGUUCAUUUGAUGUAUUGAAGCUAAAAAUAUGAAAUAUUCUCAAGUAUGAAGAUUCAAGUACAUUAGUUUAUUUAAAACUCCUCCCCUGUUCUUCCCCUUUUAGUUCAGACAUAUGUAAUAAUAGGAUGAUUAUCUAGUUGUACUUAACUUUUGGACUGAUUCAUUUUGUAAUAAUUGGACUUUAGAGACUGUUUCACUUGUAAUAACUGGACAUUCGAUUCAUUUUUUUGUAUGCACUAUUGCUAGUGCUGGUAGUGGAUGUAUGACUGUCCUAGAUGGUUAUUUCAUGUUGUUUAGAACUAAGGAAAUCAUGACAUAUAGGUUCAAAAAUUAUUGAAAUUCAGUCACCAUGUAUGGUGAAGUGUAC
This 828-nucleotide long non-coding RNA is filed under the name Nicotiana benthamiana. RNAcentral's name for it is "long non-coding RNA (NBEN_LNC039143)". The record is from RNAcentral. Lineage: Eukaryota; Viridiplantae; Streptophyta; Magnoliopsida; Solanales; Solanaceae.